AUUGAACGCUGGCGGCAGGCCUAACACAUGCAAGUCGAACGAGUGGCGGACGGGUGAGUAAUGUCUGGGAAACUGCCCGAUGGAGGGGGAUAACUACUGGAAACGGUAGCUAAUACCGCAUACCAUCAGAUGUGCCCAGAUGGGAUUAGCUAGUGGGUGGGGUAACGGCUCACCUGGGCGACGAUCCCUAGCUGGUCUGAGAGGAUGACCAGCCACACGGGAACUUAGACACGGUCCAGACUCCUACGGUAGGCAGUAGUGGGGAAUAUUGCACAAUGGGCGCAAGCCUGAUGCAGCCAUGCCGCGUGUAUGAAGAAGGCCUUCGGGUUGUAAAGUACUUUCAGCGGGGAGGCGUUACCCGCAGAAGAAGCACCGGCUAACUCCGUGCCAGCAGCCGCGGUAAUAC
Molecule: ribosomal RNA, 406 nt
Filed under: uncultured bacterium
Lineage: Bacteria
Description: partial 16S ribosomal RNA
Rfam family: Bacterial small subunit ribosomal RNA
Source: RNAcentral